CUGCCCUACACGAAAAUCGAAACAAAGGAAAUCAAAAAGAAAAAAUAUACAAGGAAAAUCAACCAAGAAGAGACACGAGGAAAAUUGGCGGGGCAGGAGUGAAGUUAAAGUGGCCUCCUUGACCAGAUUGCAUGAUGGAUUGCAGUACAAGUCCACCCAGUCCUUAACCCUACUUGAAUAACAUGUGGAAAACAGCAACAAAGCAAAACAAAACCCUAAAUGUACAAGACCGAGACCACUAGAUCCUGGGCAACCUCCUUUAUUAUAUUGCCAGUACUUAGCAGUUUACUCCAGUUGUGAAGCUGAAGGGCUCAUGUCUUAUUAAUUGUCUUACUUCACCAAUUCUUACUGUUUGGACUGUUAGGCUCAAAUGAGUUUUUAUGAGUUAUGUCAUAUUAUUUGUUCCACAAAUGAAUCUUGUUAAUAUGAAGAAAUAAAAUAUGCAUUCUGAGCACUGUA
Long non-coding RNA from Lacerta agilis (Sand lizard), 459 nucleotides. RefSeq lists it as uncharacterized. The record is from RefSeq and is a predicted model, not a curated record. Lineage: Eukaryota; Metazoa; Chordata; Lepidosauria; Squamata; Lacertidae. The transcript is spliced from 2 exons.